Papio anubis (olive baboon) is the source of this 104-nucleotide small nuclear RNA. Lineage: Eukaryota; Metazoa; Chordata; Mammalia; Primates; Cercopithecidae. The record is from Ensembl.
GCUCGCUUUGGCAAAACAUAUACUAAAACUGGAAUGACGCAAAGAAGAUAGCAUGGCGCCUGCGCAAGGAUGAGUCUGUUAAAAAAAAUUCUUAACCUUUUGAU